AUUGAACGCUGGCGGCAUGCUUUACACAUGCAAGUCGAACGGCAGCGCGGGCUUCGGCCUGGCGGCGAGUGGCGAACGGGUGAGUAAUACAUCGGAACGUGCCCAGGAGUGGGGGAUAGCUCGGCGAAAGCCGGAUUAAUACCGCAUACGACCUGAGGGUGAAAGCGGGGGAUAUUCGGACCUCGCGCUAUUGGAGCGGCCGAUGGCAGAUUAGCUAGUUGGUGGGGUAAAGGCCUACCAAGGCUACGAUCUGUAGCUGGUCGGAGAGGACGACCAGCCACACUGGGACUGAGACACGGCCCAGACUCCUACGGGAGGCAGCAGUGGGGAAUUUUGGACAAUGGUCGAAAGCCUGAUCCAGCAAUGCCGCGUGUGUGAUGAAGGCCUUCGGGUUGUAAAGCACUUUUGGCGGGAACGAAAAGGACUGUGCCAAUACCACGGUUCGAUGACGGUACCCGCAGAAUAAGCACCGGCUAACUCCGUG
RNAcentral lists this ribosomal RNA (484 nucleotides) under uncultured bacterium. RNAcentral's name for it is "partial 16S ribosomal RNA". It matches the Rfam family "Bacterial small subunit ribosomal RNA", at positions 29 to 507 of the family's 1533-position model. The record is from RNAcentral.